This 91-nucleotide small RNA is filed under the name Caulobacter vibrioides NA1000. RNAcentral's name for it is "small non-coding RNA". The record is from RNAcentral. Lineage: Bacteria; Pseudomonadati; Pseudomonadota; Alphaproteobacteria; Caulobacterales; Caulobacteraceae.
GAGACCGGCCAUCCGUUCUAUUGGGCCGCCUUCGUCCUCAUCGGCGACGGCGCUUCUCGGAUCCAAUAAAAAAGGGCGAGGCCUCGGCCUC